This 427-nucleotide ribosomal RNA is filed under the name uncultured archaeon. RNAcentral describes it as "bacterial SSU rRNA". It matches the Rfam family "Archaeal small subunit ribosomal RNA", at positions 43 to 474 of the family's 1478-position model. The record is from RNAcentral.
CUUAAGCCAUGCGAGUCGAGAGGGGUAAGCCCUCGGCGCACUGCUCAGUAACACGCGGACAACCUGCCCUCGAGACGGGGAUACCCCGGGAAACUGGGAAUAAUACCCGAUAGAUCUGGGAUGAUGGAAGGCUCCCAGGUCCAAAUCCUGCGGGGCUCGAGGAUGGGUCUGCGGCCUAUCAGGUAGUAGGGGGUUUUACGGACCCCCUAGCCGAAGACGGGUACGGGCUUUGGGAGAAGUCGCCCGGAGAUGGAUUCUGAGACACGAAUCCAGGUCCUACGGGACGCAGCAGGCGCGAAACCUCCACAAUGUGGGAAACCACGAUGGGGGAACUCCAAGUGCCUAGACUUAUGUCUAGGCUGUUCUCGAGCCUAAAAAGCUCUAGAAGUAAGGGCCGGGUAAGACCGGUGCCAACCGCCGCGGGUAA